UUAGGAAUAUUCGUCAAUGGGGGAAACCCUGAACGAGCAAUGCCGCGUGAGUGAUGACGGUCUUUAUGAUUGUAAAACUCUGUUGUGAAGGAAGAACAGCUACUAUAGGUAAUGAUAGUAGUGUGACGGUACUUUACCAGAAAGCCCCUGCUAACUACGUGCCAGCAGCCGCGGUAAUACGUAGGGGGCAAGCGUUAUCCGGAUUUAUUGGGCGUAAAGCGUUCGUAGGCGGUUUGUUUAGUCUAUGAUUUAAGCCUGGGGCUUAACCCCAGUUCGUUGUAGAAACUGGCAGACUUGAGUGUGGUAGAGGCAAGUGGAAUUUCUAGUGUAGCGGUUAAAUGCGUAGAUAUUAGAAGGAACACCAGUGGCGAAGGCGGCUUGCUGGGCCAUUACUGACGCUGAGGAACGAAAGCGUGGGGAGCAAAUAGG
RNAcentral lists this ribosomal RNA (429 nucleotides) under uncultured bacterium. RNAcentral describes it as "bacterial SSU rRNA". It matches the Rfam family "Bacterial small subunit ribosomal RNA", at positions 355 to 776 of the family's 1533-position model. The record is from RNAcentral.